This 456-nucleotide long non-coding RNA is filed under the name Trifolium pratense (red clover). RNAcentral's name for it is "long non-coding RNA (TPRA_LNC006125)". Lineage: Eukaryota; Viridiplantae; Streptophyta; Magnoliopsida; Fabales; Fabaceae. The record is from RNAcentral.
UUAUGGUCAAUAGAGACCCAAUUGCAUUCCAAUAAUAGAAACCUAGUAUGUAUAUUCGUACAUAUACAUAUAUAGCAAGAAAAUAAGAGCUAUGCUUUCUCUUUAUUUUCUUUAUAAGAGUACUAUAUUCUUAACACAAAAUCAAACAACUAAAGAGGAAGAACCAAAAUCAUUCAUCUCCUUCAACCCAUUUCAAAAAACAAAAAAAAAAACAAGAAACUCACUCAUCAUCAUCUUCAAAAUCAUCACCCCCCACUUCCACCAUGGAGUUGCGUUGAUAAAUCUCAGAUCUUCAAAAAGUCAGUUAGUUUCUCAGAUCUUCAAGAAGUCAGUUAGUUUCUUCAUGUUUCAUGUUCUUUUUUGACAAAAAGUUUUUUUUUUGUUUUUGUUUUUGCAGAACAACACCUUUUUUCUCUUUUCUAAGCCUGUCUGGACUAUUUGGGGUGUGAGAGAAAG